Molecule: ribosomal RNA, 2922 nt
Filed under: Staphylococcus haemolyticus
Lineage: Bacteria; Bacillati; Bacillota; Bacilli; Caryophanales; Staphylococcaceae
Description: 23S ribosomal RNA
Rfam family: Bacterial large subunit ribosomal RNA
Source: RNAcentral
GAUUAAGUUAUUAAGGGCGCACGGUGGAUGCCUUGGCACUAGAAGCCGACGAAGGACGUUACUAACGACGAUAUGCUUUGGGUAGCUGUAAGUAAGCGUUGAUCCAGAGAUUUCCGAAUGGGGGAACCCAGCACGAGUUAUGUCGUGUUAUCGACAAGUGAAUUCAUAGCUUGUCAGAAGGCAGACCCGGAGAACUGAAACAUCUUAGUACCCGGAGGAAGAGAAAGAAAAAUCGAUUCCCUGAGUAGCGGCGAGCGAAACGGGAAGAGCCCAAACCAAUAAGCUUGCUUAUUGGGGUUGUAGGACACUCUAUACGGAGUUACAAAGGAAUAUAUUAGACGAAUCAUCUGGAAAGUUGAAUCAAAGAAGGUAAUAAUCCUGUAGUUGAAAAUAUAUUCUCUCUUGAGUGGAUCCUGAGUACGACGGAGCACGUGAAAUUCCGUCGGAAUCUGGGAGGACCAUCUCCUAAGGCUAAAUACUCUCUAGUGACCGAUAGUGAACCAGUACCGUGAGGGAAAGGUGAAAAGUACCCCGGAAGGGGAGUGAAAGAGAACUUGAAACCGUGUGCUUACAAGUAGUCAGAGCCCGUUAAUGGGUGAUGGCGUGCCUUUUGUAGAAUGAACCGGCGAGUUACGAUCUGAUGCAAGGUUAAGCAGGAGAUGUGGAGCCGUAGCGAAAGCGAGUCUGAAUAGGGCGUUGAGUAUUUGGUCGUAGACCCGAAACCAGGUGAUCUACCCAUGGUCAGGUUGAAGUUCAGGUAACACUGAAUGGAGGACCGAACCGACUUACGUUGAAAAGUGAGCGGAUGAACUGUGGGUAGCGGAGAAAUUCCAAUCGAACUUGGAGAUAGCUGGUUCUCUCCGAAAUAGCUUUAGGGCUAGCCUCAAGUGAUGAUUAUUGGAGGUAGAGCACUGUUUGGACGAGGGGCCCCUCUCGGGUUACCGAAUUCAGACAAACUCCGAAUGCCAAUUAAUUUAACUUGGGAGUCAGAACAUGGGUGAUAAGGUCCGUGUUCGAAAGGGAAACAGCCCAGACCACCAGCUAAGGUCCCAAAAUAUAUGUUAAGUGGAAAAGGAUGUGGCGUUGCCCAGACAACUAGGAUGUUGGCUUAGAAGCAGCCAUCAUUUAAAGAGUGCGUAAUAGCUCACUAGUCGAGUGACACUGCGCCGAAAAUGUACCGGGGCUAAACAUAUUACCGAAGCUGUGGAUUGUCCGUAGGACAAUGGUAGGAGAGCGUUCUAAGGGCGUUGAAGCAUGAUCGCAAGGACAUGUGGAGCGCUUAGAAGUGAGAAUGCCGGUGUGAGUAGCGAAAGACGGGUGAGAAUCCCGUCCACCGAUUGACUAAGGUUUCCAGAGGAAGGCUCGUCCGCUCUGGGUUAGUCGGGUCCUAAGCUGAGGCCGACAGGCGUAGGCGAUGGAUAACAGGUUGAUAUUCCUGUACCACCUAGCAUCGUUUUAAUCGAUGGGGGGACGCAGUAGGAUAGGCGAAGCGUACGAUUGGAUUGUACGUCCAAGCAGUGAGAUUGAGUGUUAGGCAAAUCCGGCACUCUUAAGAUUGAGCUGUGAUGGGGAGAGGAAAUUGUUUCCUCGAGUCGUUGAUUUCACACUGCCGAGAAAAGCCUCUAGAUAGAUAAUAGGUGCCCGUACCGCAAACCGACACAGGUAGUCAAGAUGAGAAUUCUAAGGUGAGCGAGCGAACUCUCGUUAAGGAACUCGGCAAAAUGACCCCGUAACUUCGGGAGAAGGGGUGCUCUUUAGGGUGCAAGCCCAGAAGAGCCGCAGUGAAUAGGCCCAAGCGACUGUUUAUCAAAAACACAGGUCUCUGCUAAACCGUAAGGUGAUGUAUAGGGGCUGACGCCUGCCCGGUGCUGGAAGGUUAAGAGGAGUGGUUAGCUUCUGCGAAGCUACGAAUCGAAGCCCCAGUAAACGGCGGCCGUAACUAUAACGGUCCUAAGGUAGCGAAAUUCCUUGUCGGGUAAGUUCCGACCCGCACGAAAGGCGUAACGAUUUGGGCACUGUCUCAACGAGAGACUCGGUGAAAUCAUAGUACCUGUGAAGAUGCAGGUUACCCGCGACAGGACGGAAAGACCCCGUGGAGCUUUACUGUAGCCUGAUAUUGAAAUUCGGCACAGCUUGUACAGGAUAGGUAGGAGCCUUUGAAACGUGAGCGCUAGCUUACGUGGAGGCGCUGGUGGGAUACUACCCUAGCUGUGUUGGCUUUCUAACCCGCACCACUUAUCGUGGUGGGAGACAGUGUCAGGCGGGCAGUUUGACUGGGGCGGUCGCCUCCUAAAAGGUAACGGAGGCGCUCAAAGGUUCCCUCAGAAUGGUUGGAAAUCAUUCAUAGAGUGUAAAGGCAUAAGGGAGCUUGACUGCGAGACCUACAAGUCGAGCAGGGUCGAAAGACGGACUUAGUGAUCCGGUGGUUCCGCAUGGAAGGGCCAUCGCUCAACGGAUAAAAGCUACCCCGGGGAUAACAGGCUUAUCUCCCCCAAGAGUUCACAUCGACGGGGAGGUUUGGCACCUCGAUGUCGGCUCAUCGCAUCCUGGGGCUGUAGUCGGUCCCAAGGGUUGGGCUGUUCGCCCAUUAAAGCGGUACGCGAGCUGGGUUCAGAACGUCGUGAGACAGUUCGGUCCCUAUCCGUCGUGGGCGUAGGAAAUUUGAGAGGAGCUGUCCUUAGUACGAGAGGACCGGGAUGGACAUACCUCUGGUGUACCAGUUGUCGUGCCAACGGCAUAGCUGGGUAGCUAUGUAUGGACGGGAUAAGUGCUGAAAGCAUCUAAGCAUGAAGCCCCCCUCAAGAUGAGAUUUCCCAACUUCGGUUAUAAGAUCCCUCAAAGAUGAUGAGGUUAAUAGGUUCGAGGUGGAAGCGUGGUGACACGUGGAGCUGACGAAUACUAAUCGAUCGAAGACUUAAUCAA